GUCGACGAGGUAGCUCUACCUAGUGGCGCACGGGUGAGUAACGCGUGGAUAAUCUGCCCUUCGCUGGGGAAUAACUAAUCGAAAGGUUAGCUAAUACCGCAUGAGGCCACUUUUUCUGAGGAAGCAUUGGUUAAAAAUUUAUUGCUGAAGGAUGACUCUGCGUGGGAUUAGCUACUUGGUGAGGUAAUGGCUCACCACUGCUACGAUCUCUAACAGGUCUGAGAGGAUGACCUGUCACACUGGAACUGAGACACGGUCCAGACUCCUACGGGAGGCAGCAGUAGGGAAUAUUGCGCAAUGGACGAAAGUCUGACGCAGCGACGCCGCGUGAGUGAUGAAGGCCUUAGGGUCGUAAAGCUCUGUUGCAUGGGAAGAAAAAAAUGACGGUACCCUGCGAGAAAAGAUCGGCUAACUUCGUGCCAGCAGCCUCGGUAAGACCAGGGAUCCUAGCGUUGUUCGGAAUCAUUGCGCGUAUAGCGCACGUAGGCUGCCAUUCGUGUCAGUUGUGAAAGCCCCGGGCUCAACCCGGGAAGUGCUUCUGAUACUGUUUGGCUUGAGUACUGCGAGAGGAUAGUAGAAUUCCAGGUGUAGUGGUGAAAUACGUAGAUAUCUGGAGCGAAUA
Molecule: ribosomal RNA, 622 nt
Filed under: uncultured bacterium
Lineage: Bacteria
Description: bacterial SSU rRNA
Rfam family: Bacterial small subunit ribosomal RNA
Source: RNAcentral